UUGUCUCCGGAGCUCUAGGAGCGUAGGACUGAAGAUCCUAAGGUGAAGAGGCAGU
This 55-nucleotide transfer RNA is filed under the name Pomphorhynchus bulbocolli. RNAcentral describes it as "tRNA-Phe". Lineage: Eukaryota; Metazoa; Acanthocephala; Palaeacanthocephala; Echinorhynchida; Pomphorhynchidae. The record is from RNAcentral.